CACGUAGGGUGCGAGCGUUGUCCGGAAUUAUUGGGCGUAAAGAGCUCGUAGGUGGUUUGUCGCGUUGUUCGUGAAAACUCACAGCUUAACUGUGGGCGUGCGGGCGAUACGGGCAGACUGGAGUACUGCAGGGGAGACUGGAAUUCCUGGUGUAGCGGUGGAAUGCGCAGAUAUCAGGAGGAACACCGGUGGCGAAGGCGGGUCUCUGGGCAGUAACUGACGCUGAGGAGCGAAAGCGUGGGGAGCGAACAGG
This 253-nucleotide ribosomal RNA is filed under the name uncultured bacterium. Its description in RNAcentral is "partial 16S ribosomal RNA". It matches the Rfam family "Bacterial small subunit ribosomal RNA", at positions 524 to 776 of the family's 1533-position model. The record is from RNAcentral.